CGAGUUUCGGAAAAUUGCCACGGUCUCUCCACUUAUCAAGGGGAGGC
Molecule: non-coding RNA, 47 nt
Filed under: Partenskyella glossopodia
Lineage: Eukaryota; Cercozoa; Chlorarachniophyceae
Source: RNAcentral